CCCCGCUGGCAAUCUUCAAGCCGCCAGUCAAGCCCCCUCCAACUCGAGUCGUUCGUCGACCUGACCCAACACUCCACCCUCCCGUUUUCAUUUUCUUCACGAGGGCUUGAGCUGAACGGCCCAACAGCCUCCACCUCUUCGCUGCUGCUUCUUCACGCCAGCAACAACCAGCAUCCAAACAACCACCAAACAGUCGCAUACCUCCCUCUCUCAAUAUCACCCAAACAAACCAUGACCUCCUUCUUCUUCGCUCCAAAAUCAGAAGCACCGGCUAGUUCGAGUUCGAAUCUUCUUUUGUUGAAGUUAAUUGGUCGAGUUCAUGUUUUUAUUUUCUUUCGUCGAGGUCGUUGACAGUCUCGUUGAGGUUGUCGUGCAAGAUUUGGUGACGGAUUGGCCUUUGCUCCAGUUUUCUUUUCGAUUUUUAAUUGUAUAUCAGGUAUGAAUCUCGAUCUGAAAUUCUGAAAUUGUCGAUCCGUUUGGCACUAUUUUCUUAUGUUCCGACGUCUCCUUUGGGUUGUUGAGACAUAGGUCCACGAUUAGCUCGUUGACGCUUUCAAUUUGCGCUAAUUGUUUACUACUUCUGUUUUGUUAAAGUAAGUUGAUUCACAUUCCUUGCUCACGUAGUUUAUUGUUAUUGCUCUUUAUGUGAGACGUCUUUAUUCUUACGGAGGCAAUUCUUUUUUCUACCUAAACACUGUCAACCUUUGUUUCCCCCUUUGAGCUGUAUUUGUUCUUUCAUAUCCCUCUCUUGGUAUCGUGAAAGAAAAAAAAGAAAAAAAGAAAAAUGAUAAGAAAAACAUAAGAAAACAAAUAUUUAGGAACUACAUUUGACCUUAUUCCUCAAGAAAGGAUACGUAGGAUCCUCACGACUCGGUCAUAGUGUGACGAAAUGUCGAGAAAAAUCAAAAAUCCCCAAGGAGAAAACUGGGGCGAAAGUUAGGUUGUUAGAAAAUUUUUGAUUCCAAGAGUUGCGGACUCUCACCCAUCGAAGUCACUUCGAAUUUUUGAUACCCUUUUUCUUUAAAGCACACAAAACCCACAUGUUAUAACCAAAAAAGACCUCCCGAUCAGUUUCCGAAAGGUGUCGAUUCAUGCAAGUGGAAGCCAGGAAUAAUACAUUGAUCCCCAGACGAGGGAAGAUUAUGAGCUGAGGGAACUACUAUCAGGAAUCCCUAGCAGAAAUCCCUAGAAGAAUCGCUAGCCAAAGGAAUACCCGGUAGAGUUGAUAGCAAAAGAAUUCCCCAGUAGAGAGAAUCUUAUUGGUAACGCUCCCAUUCCCAACUGAGAAAAUAAAAUGAGAGAGUCUUAUCGUUGAAAACCUUUACAUGCACCAUAAGGUGACGAAAGCUAAGAGAAAACAAAAUGGGAGAGUCUAAUUAGUGAAAAAACCUGGAAGGGCACUAUGAGGCGACAAUAUAAGAUUAGCAGAAAGGAUCCGAAUUUGGGCAAAAGUUGGGCACCUAUUUAUCCCCAGCAAAUGAAGCCAUCAGAAAUUGAUUAAUACCAAUAGACUGGGUCGAUUAUUACAGAAUAUAUGACAUGAUCAUCGGGGCCAUCAUAUCACCCAGAUAAGUCUUUUCUUUUCUUUUCUUUUUCCCAGCGUUCGUUCAGAAAGAUUUUUUCCCUUUUUGUAUCAUUUCUUUUGACUUUCCCCAGCAGUUUAUUUUUGAGAAAGUUUUGUCAGGGUUUGCAACCUGUUGCCAAAUGGUACAAGGCAAAAUACGAAUAAGGCCAGCGGAAGACAAGGCAACAAAACGAAAGAGCUUUGUUGCAAGGCCCUCUUGAAUAGAAUGGCCUUGUUUGAAUUGGUGUGGAGUUGGUUAGGUUUUGUUUACAAAAGUGACCAAUUAAUUCCACCGGAUGGGUCCAGAAUAUCAGGAGAAGUAUGGGAAAGGCUGGAAAGGCAAUAGUUGGGAAAACGUGGACCAAAUUGCAAGAGAAUCCCCGGCAGGAGUGGCACAACCACUCACCAUGUUUUGAACUAAUAAAGUUUUCUUUGAUUUGAAGUAGAAAAAGAAAUGCUGAUAAUGGCAGAAGGGUGUACCACAAGGGAGAGCGCCAGAAUUGGGGCAGAAAAUUUUCUGCCUUUGUCGAAACUUUCCUCGGAAAGGGGGGAAACUGAAUUCAACUUAUGGCUUUAUCUCAUAUUUGAUAAUGGCAGAAGGGCGUACCACAAGGGUGAGCGCCAGAAUUGGGGUAGAAAAUUUUCUGCCUUUGUCGAAAAUUUCCUCGGAAAGGGGGGAACCGAAUUCAAGUUAUGACUUCAUCUCAUAUGACUAUGAGUCAUAUAGCUUUGCAUCCUACAUAGCUUUGAAUCCUACAUCUCAUGUGACUACGUGUCACUUUGCAUCUACAUCUCAUAUGACUACGUGUCAUUUUGCAUCUAUAUCUCAUGUGACUACGUGUCACUUUGAAUCUGCAUCUCAUAUAAUCGCAUCGCAUAUAACUCUAGUCAUAUAGCUUUGCAAUUAUGACUUGAAAUCGGUAACCCACGUAAGGUAGAAGGUUACAACAAAAGCCCCAGCAUAACAAAUGUUGAUGAAAGAAAUCCAUCUCCCCGGUGGAAUUGCCAAGAAACGUAAUGAAGGAAGCCAUAUCCCCAGCAGAACAAGCAAAUAUCAACGAAAACUAGUGUUCAGACAGGCAAAAGGUCAGUGUCAUCCCCAGGCUCCCGGAAGAAAGAAGCACCGGAAGAAACACAAGCUGACAAGAAAGCAAGGCCAGCAAAAACAAAUUGAAGAUAGAUAGGAUCUUGUGAUCCGUAGGCUAGCCUAGCUUCUUGUUUUUCUCUUUGACACGGUAUAAUAAGGAGAUCAGUAAAGCAGUGGUAACAACACACAGCAGCCGUAUCGGCAAAACUAACUUCUUGUUUUAUUCUUUGACAUAGUGUAAUAAGGAGACCAGUAAGGCAAUGGUAACAGUAUACAGCAACAGUAACAGCAGAACCACAGUUCCCCGGUAGUCCCAGCUACCAAGACUUCCCUAACUACAUUGACCAGAUUCCCUUUUAGCCAGGGAUAUGUAGGAAACCUUUGAAGCAAAGGUUCGGUCAAUUAUUUCAAAAAAUGCUUAACACGGAUUACUUAAAUGGGCAAAAAUCGCUCGUAUCCGCUCACUUUAUCUUUGCACGAAAACUCUUCGUGUUUCCGGACAAAGAGGGGCGGCUGUGAGCACGUAAUAUUUAUCCUAUAUGAGAAUUACUUCCAAAAAAUUAAAAAUAAAACAAUAUUUUUUUUAUUUGCAAUUACUGUGAAUUUUGUGUUAUUUCUCUUGUAUUGUUUGCAUUAUGUCUGUGCAUGAAUUAUUUGUUAAAUUAAUUAAAGAAAAUACAAAAAUAUGCUGCAUUUGUAUUUAAGAUUUAAUUUUACAGUUAGGAUUAAUUAAGUAACUUGUUUUACAAAAAUGAAACACAAAAAUAAUGUACUUUGUGUUAUGAAAUAAUAUAAAAGACAAGAACAAUAUAGAGAGAAUAGAGAGAGAGAAGUAUUCUNNNNNNNNNNNNNNNNNNNNNNNNNNNNNNNNNNNNNNNNNNNNNNNNNNNNNNNNNNNNNNNNNNNAUUGAUACUUGGGAUUGUUAGGGAUGAUUUACAAUGGUAGAAGACCCCUUUAUUUAUAGGGAGGGGGAUGAUUUUGCUACCAAGAAUAGAACUCUAGAAUCUCUCUAAUUAUAGACAUUCACCUUAUAGACAUUCACCUUAAAUAGGAGAUUUCAUAAUACUUUGCAUUUUUUUUGUUUAAUGUCAAAUUGUGUGAUUUUCUUAAAAUUUGAUAUUAAAUUUUUUGUGAUGACUUAGAGUUAAUUAUUAUGUUAGGAUAAUUUGGUCAAGUAUUAUUAUUUUAGCCACCCUUACCGCCUGAACCCCNNNNNNNNNNNNNNNNNNNNNNNNNNNNNNNNNNNNNNNNNNNNNNNNNNNNNNNNGCUGCCGGUCAACCCCCCUCCAACUCAAGUCGUUCGUCGACCUGACCCAACACUCCACCCUCUCGUUUUCAUCUUCUUCACGAGGGCUUGAGCUGAACGGCCCAGCAGCCACCACCUCUUCGCUGCUGCUUCUUCACGCCAGCAACAACCAGAAUCCAAACAACCACCAAACAGUCGCACACCUCCCUCUCUAGUCUCACCCAAACGAACCCUGAACUCCUUCUUCGCUCCGAAAUCAGAAGCACCGGCGAGUUCGAGUUCGAAUCUUUUUUUGUUGAAGUCAAUUAGUCGAGUUCAUGUUCGGGUUUUCUUCCGUCGAGGUCGUUGACAGUCUCGUUGAGGUUUUCCGUUCAAGAUUUGGUGACGGAUUGGCCUUUGCUCCAGUUUCUUUUCGAUUUUUAAUUGUAUAUCAGGUAUGAAUCUCGAUCCGAAAUGCUGAAAUUGUUGAUCCAUUUGGCACUAUUUUAUUAUGUUCCGACGUCUCCUUUGGGUUGCUGAGCCAUAGGUCCAUGAUUAGCUCGUUGACGAUUUCAAUUUUUGCUAAUUGUUUACUGCUUCUGUUUUGUUAAAGUAAGUUGAUUCACAGUCCUCGCUCACGUAGUUUAUUGUUAUUGCUCUUUAUGCGAGGCGGCUUUGUUCUGAUUGUGACUCGAUCUUUGCUUGAUUCUGUUGUUAUUGAGACAGCAUUUAUAGUAGAUUUUUGAUGGAAUUAAAAUGAAGGUUAGUUUUGUUAUUUCAGAAAACGAAGUCAGUGAAGGCUCCAUCUUCUCCUCUCGUCAUUUAUGCUACUUUGAAUAAUUGUUUCCUGAAUAUUUUAGUGUUGCCAUUUGUUUUGUUUGAUGCCAUUUUAAUUUUGCUGCUUUUAGGAAUAUUGUGGAUGUUAUAUAAUUACUAUGAUCAAUUAGUGAAAGUUUUCAGUUUGAUUUUGGAAGUAAUCGUGUUUUAAAUAGGAGGAGUUUUAAUAAUUGGGGACUGGAAUUUGGGCAUAUUUGGUUAAGUUAAUGGCCAGUUGUUUUGGCACUAAUAAAGUAGCUUAUAACAUUAGUUUAAUAAUUUGGGGUACGAAACAUAUUGG
RNAcentral lists this long non-coding RNA (4994 nucleotides) under Nicotiana benthamiana. RNAcentral describes it as "long non-coding RNA (NBEN_LNC020119)". The record is from RNAcentral. Lineage: Eukaryota; Viridiplantae; Streptophyta; Magnoliopsida; Solanales; Solanaceae.